GUGGGAAAACCACAGGCAAAGACACAGACUUUGUCCAGAGGUGCAGCAGCAUCUAUCUUGGCCAGGGUGUAGUCAGGCACAACAGUGUAUUCUGCAAAGGUGCUGUUCCAGAGGAAAUGAUGGAUCUGUUUCCCUUUGCAAGUGAAUCUGCUGGUCUUGUCAGGCAGCAGGUUUUGUGGUUCAGUGAAGCUGUUGGAAGUGUGUGUGUGAGUUGCUCAUCACAUAAGGUACAUGUGUGUGCAUAUCAGAAUUGUUGAUGGUUCAGCCUGUUUGGGUAGAGGGGUAGGUGAAAACAAACUCACUGUGUUUUCACGCAGUAGUUGGAGUCAGGAUUCAAGCAGAAGCUGCAUUCUCCACACUGAGGAAGUGGAAGGAGGAUGACUUUGUCUCCUGGAAGAAAGCAGAUCCAGCAUUACACGCCUGUCACUCGGUGGCCUGUUGGCGUGCCUCUGCUGAGCUUUGUGAUGACGGCACCCCGGCAUGAACGCUCUCCUUUCCCUGUCCGAAGAACACGUUCAGAGCCCACCUCAUGCACUUUUGGUAUGGAUGAGGAAAGUGUGUGUGACAGCGUAGCACAACUGGUGUGCGGCCAGAGGGAGUUUCUGAUCUCUGGGCAGCCUUACAGACUUUGAGAGCUGGGUCCUGGCUGCAUGCGUUGGUUACCUGGUUUCACAGAAGUCACUCCUUCUCCAAUGCUCUCCACAAUCCCAGCUCCUUCAUGGCCGGGGAUGACUGGGAAUUCUAGAUCAGGAAAUGUACCUUCAAGAACGUGGUCAUCUGUGCGACAGAUCCCUGUAGCCACAAUCUGUUAGCAGUGAAAGUGCACAGAACAUCUGGAACAAUGUUGAUUGGCUCUGAGACCCUCAGUCCCUUUGUUCUGGGAACUGAAAUCACACAACUGUGCUUUGGUGGUUUUUUUGCUCCACCUGAGUACUUACUGCUCUAUGGGUCCCAGUAGUAUUUGCCCCAGGGUUCUCAAAGAGCUGCCUGAUUUCAUUGUGGGUCCACUCUUUAAUUAUUUUUCACUAGUUUGGGAAAUCUGGAGAUGUUCUUAUCUACUAAAAGGUGGUAAACUUCCCAGUUGUCAUGAAGAAACAGAAAGACUAUCCUGGUAAUUGCAGGUCUGUCAGUCUCGCUUUUUUGCCUGGCAGAAUUGUGGAGUAGAUUAUUCUGGGAGAUAUUGUAAAAUACUUGAAAGAUAAUUGGUCACAUCCAAUGUGGGUUCACAUGGGGGGAAAGUCCUGCGUAAUGAAUUAAUCUCCUUUUACUAUAAGGCUAACCCCCCACUCCACCCUCCCUCCCACUUGACCAAGGGAAGCUUACUUGGCUUUUAGCAAAUCUUUCAGUAUCUUGUCUGUCUUUAUCUUUCAGGACCAAACAUCCAGCAUACAGCUAGACUGAAACAUUAUUCAGUGGAUGAACAACUGGCUGAUGGGUUGGACUCAGAAGGCUUUACUAAAUGUGGUCAUAACUACCUGGUGGUCAUUAAUGAGUUUUGUCAGGGCUCCAUCUUGGGGCCAGUUUUCUUUAAUUAUUUCAUCAAUGAUCUGGAUAUGGAACUUGAUGGUAUACUAAGUAAGUUUGCAAAUAAUACUACAUUAGGGAGGGGCUGUUGACUCUGUAGGGGGCAGAAAGGUCUUGAAGAGAGAUCUUGACAAAAUGGAGAACUGGGCAACACCAACAUAUGAACUAAACAAGAGCACGUGCUAACUUCUGCGGCUGGCACAGGCAACUGAAGAUAUAUGCACAGACUGGGGGAUGAGAUCUUGCAGAGCAGUCCUGUGGAGAAGGACCUGGGGGCUCUGAUUGCUGGCAAGUUGAAUCUAAGUUAGCAGUGUGCCCUGGCACAGCCCAUGGGGUGAACCAUACUGUGGGGUGCAUCAUGUCCAACACUGCCAGUCAGUCAAGGGAAGGGAUUGUCCCACUCUGUUCUGCACUGGGCCAGCCUCACCUCGAGCACUGUUUGCAGUUUUGGCAUGACAAUAUAGGAAGGACAUAAAACUGAAACUAUUUGAGAGUGCCCAAAAGAGACUUACAAAGAUGGUGAAGGCUCUGAACAAGAUGUGUGAGGAGUGGCUCAAGUCCCUUGCCUUUUUAGCCCAGAGAAGGGGAGACUAAGGUCAGGUCUUCCAGCAACCUCAGUCCUUCCUUAUGAGGGGAGCAAAGCGGCAGGCACUGAGCUCUGCUUGAUGGUGUCAGGGUCCAAGGGUGUGCAGUGCAGCUGCAUCAGGAGAAGAUGAGACUGUGUGUUGAGAAAAGGUUCUUCACCAGAGGGCAGUCAGACAUGAAAUAGUCACCACAGGGCAGUGGUCACAGCAUGAAGAUGCUGGAGUUCAAGAAGCAUUUAGACAACGUUCUCACAUAAAGGACUUGAAUUUUGUGUGGUUCUAUGUGGAGACAGGAGCUGGAUUCAGUGAGCCUAUUGUGGGUCCCUUUUAGCUUUGGAUAUUCUAUGGUAAUAUGAUUCUAGAAACAUCUUGACCACCAUUGAUCUCCAUAAUGGAUCCAGGAAAUAGGGUGUAGUAAUGUUUGUCUCCUUCCCAAACCUUGGGAAAGAUUAAGCUUCAAUGCACCAUGAUUCCCAAAGGUUAUAUUUUAGCUAAAUCCUCCAAAAAAUAUCCCAUACUGGAAGGGGGGGGGGGGGGGGGGAGGAGGAAAGGAAAUAAUAAAACAACGAAAACAACAAAAAAAACCCAAAGUGCUUUUACCUUGACUCGCACUUCGUGUGCCUUUGGAGGUGCAACCUCUAUCUCCUCAACAGAGAGCGAUUUGCCCGCUGCCCAGGCAACUGCAGCUCUGCAUCGGAUAACCUGGAAGAAUGGGAGCGGUGAGGCUGUGUGAGAAGGUGCGCCUUUGAGAAAGAGUAAUGGAUUAAAAGCAGAUCAGCUGGUGGUUUGUCGGCCUCUGUCAAUAGCACAGCUCCAAGGAAGUACUAAACGCUCAUUCUGCCCUGGCCUGUGCCCUCCCAAUGACCGCUUCAGCAGCCUGUUGUUUCAAUGGGAUCCUGCGGUCUCCCUCUUACGAGCUGUUCCCUAGGGGAGGAGAGGACGGAGGCCCUUCUGGAAGGAAACUGAAUCGCACACCGCGUUCCUGGAGAAGGAGUCUGGAGCAGAGGAGCAGCUGGCAUUUGGGUAGUAUUCAUAGCAAAACAGCUUCUCAGUUUUCAGUGGGAGAAAGCUGUUUAAAGCCCCCUGCCUCGUGCUGGCUAAGCUACUGCCUCCCACAGAUACUGACGUGCUGCGGCUGUAUGAGAGCAGAGGCUUGUGCAAGUCAAAGAGGUUUGGGUGAGACAAGGGGAGUCAGAGAAAAGAUGGUCUGCAGCUCAAGUGUGCUGGCUGAGCCAUUCCCAGGGUAUCUCUGUGGGAGGGCGGAAGGAAAAAAGGCAACAAGGCAUCCUUACUUUUCCAGUAGUGGCCAUGUGGUCUGAGAGGAGCUGUCUGCAGCAGUGGCAGAGGAUGGAGGCUUGGUGCCGUCUGCCCGUCUGGACCCGUGUGUUGUGUGAAAUCCCUGCGUGUGGCUGGGCACCGCUGGCUGCAGGUGAAGGUUUGUGCCUCCCUGGUACCUAAUAAUGGAGGCUGUUUUCUGCACCAGCCUUGGAAAGCUCCAUUCCUGCUGUUACACUCCUGAAUCAUUUCUCCCCAAGCAGAAUGGCCUGAAGUGCAGGCAUAUGUGAUGGAAGAUGUCUGAUGGGAUUCUGGGAAGGAAGACGUGCUAAGAUGUCACAUACCAG
Molecule: long non-coding RNA, 3730 nt
Organism: Tympanuchus pallidicinctus (lesser prairie-chicken)
Lineage: Eukaryota; Metazoa; Chordata; Aves; Galliformes; Phasianidae
Exons: 3
Source: RefSeq, a predicted model, not a curated record